Molecule: ribosomal RNA, 752 nt
Filed under: uncultured Actinomyces sp.
Lineage: Bacteria; Bacillati; Actinomycetota; Actinomycetes; Actinomycetales; Actinomycetaceae
Description: bacterial SSU rRNA
Rfam family: Bacterial small subunit ribosomal RNA
Source: RNAcentral
GACGAACGCUGGCGGCGUGCUUAACACAUGCAAGUCGAACGCUGAAGCUCAGCUUUUGUUGGGUGGAUGAGUGGCGAACGGGUGAGUAACACGUGAGUAACCUGCCCCCUUCUUUGGGAUAACGCCCGGAAACGGGUGCUAAUACUGGAUAUUCACUGGUCUUCGCAUGGGGGUUGGUGGAAGGGGUUUUUCUGGUGGGGGAUGGGCUCGCGGCCUAUCAGCUUGUUGGUGGGGUGAUGGCCUACCAAGGCUUUGACGGGUAGCCGGCCUGAGAGGGUGACCGGUCACAUUGGGACUGAGAUACGGCCCAGACUCCUACGGGAGGCAGCAGUGGGGAAUAUUGCACAAUGGGCGCAAGCCUGAUGCAGCGACGCCGCGUGAGGGAUGGAGGCCUUCGGGUUGUGAACCUCUUUCGCUCAUGGUCAAGCCGCAACAAUGGUUGUGGUGAGGGUAGUGGGUAAAGAAGCGCCGGCUAACUACGUGCCAGCAGCCGCGGUAAUACGUAGGGCGCGAGCGUUGUCCGGAAUUAUUGGGCGUAAAGGGCUUGUAGGCGGUUGGUCGCGUCUGCCGUGAAAUCCUCUGGCUUAACUGGGGGCGUGCGGUGGGUACGGGCUGACUUGAGUGCGGUAGGGGAGACUGGAACUCCUGGUGUAGCGGUGGAAUGCGCAGAUAUCAGGAAGAACACCGGUGGCGAAGGCGGGUCUCUGGGCCGUUACUGACGCUGAGGAGCGAAAGCGUGGGGAGCGAACAGG